Molecule: non-coding RNA, 98 nt
Filed under: human gut metagenome
Description: SAM riboswitch (S box leader)
Rfam family: SAM riboswitch aptamer (S box leader)
About the family: The SAM riboswitch is found upstream of a number of genes which code for proteins involved in methionine or cysteine biosynthesis in Gram-positive bacteria.
Source: RNAcentral
UAUCAAGAGUGGCGGAGGAACGGGUCCUGUGAAACCACGGCAACCCCUAAUUGCUAUGCAAGGAAGGUGCCAAUUCCCACGGUAUUAUCCGAGAGAUA